AAAGCGUGCGCAGGCGGUUUUGUAAGACUGUCGUGAAAUCCCCGGGCUCAACCUGGGAAUGGCGAUGGUGACUGCAAGGCUAGAGUUUGGCAGAGGGGGGUAGAAUUCCACGUGUAGCAGUGAAAUGCGUAGAUAUGUGGAGGAACACCGAUGGCGAAGGCACGCCCCCUGGGUCAAAACUGACGCUCAUGCACGAAAGCGUGGGGAGCAAACAGGAUUAGAUCCCGAGU
This 230-nucleotide ribosomal RNA is filed under the name uncultured bacterium. RNAcentral describes it as "partial 16S ribosomal RNA". It matches the Rfam family "Bacterial small subunit ribosomal RNA", at positions 562 to 791 of the family's 1533-position model. The record is from RNAcentral.